CCUCCCAGACCCUCCCACCUCCUGGACAGCUCAUUGAAUGAAGCUUCACAAUUGUAAAAUGGAUGCUGUCCAGGAGGUGGGAGGGUCUGGGAGG
RNAcentral lists this microRNA precursor (94 nucleotides) under Pelobates cultripes (western spadefoot toad). The record is from RNAcentral. Lineage: Eukaryota; Metazoa; Chordata; Amphibia; Anura; Pelobatidae.